CCACCAGGAGCCCCAAACCACACAUUUCCAAAAAACAGCAAGCUCCCAGGCCCCUUGUUUGAGGGACGAUUCCACCUUGGUGCAAAGGCAGAAAUAACUUAUGGGAGACUCUGCCUCAGCUUGUCCUUUCCAAACUCCAGCUCCUGCCGUGAUGCUGCAGGGCUCCCCCAGGGCCCAGAGCAGAGCUGGGCCUUGGAGCAGCACGAAGAGAGACUGCUGUGAAGUCCUGGCCCUGGCUCUAUUGAUAUGCUAGAAUCUGCUGAAGACUAAGUAAUGCUGGAUCUCAGCUGUCCCUAGAGGUCAGGCCUCACUUCAGGAAGGGGUGACUCCCUUCAAAG
RNAcentral lists this long non-coding RNA (338 nucleotides) under Heterocephalus glaber (naked mole-rat). RNAcentral describes it as "lncRNA (ENSHGLG00000048516.1)". The record is from RNAcentral. Lineage: Eukaryota; Metazoa; Chordata; Mammalia; Rodentia; Bathyergidae.